GCGUACACGGUGGAUGCCCUGGCAGUCAGAGGCGAUGAAGGACGUGCUAAUCUGCGAAAAGCGUCGGUAAGGUGAUAUGAACCGUUACAGCCGGCGAUGUCCGAAUGGGGAAACCCAGUGCAAUUCGUUGCACUAUCGUUAACUGAAUACAUAGGUUAACGAGGCGAACCGGGGGAACUGAAACAUCUAAGUACCCCGAGGAAAAGAAAUCAACCGAGAUUCCCCCAGUAGCGGCGAGCGAACGGGGAGCAGCCCAGAGUCUGAAUCAGCUUGUGUGUUAGUGGAACGGUCUGGAAAGUCCGACGGUACAGGGUGAUAGUCCCGUACACCAAAAUGCACAGGUUGUGAACUCGAAGAGUAGGGCGGGACACGUGGUAUCCUGUCUGAAUAUGGGGGGACCAUCCUCCAAGGCUAAAUACUCCUGACUGACCGAUAGUGAACCAGUACCGUGAGGGAAAGGCGAAAAGAACCCCGGCGAGGGGAGUGAAAAAGAACCUGAAACCGUGUACGUACAAGCAGUGGGAGCACCUUCGGGUGUGACUGCGUACCUUUUGUAUAAUGGGUCAGCGACUUAUAUUCUGUAGCAAGGUUAACCGUAUAGGGGAGCCGCAGGGAAACCGAGUCUUAACUGGGCGUUAAGUUGCAGGGUAUAGACCCGAAACCCGGUGAUCUAGCCAUGGGCAGGUUGAAGGUUGGGUAACACUAACUGGAGGACCGAACCGACUAAUGUUGAAAAAUUAGCGGAUGACUUGUGGCUGGGGGUGAAAGGCCAAUCAAACCGGGAGAUAGCUGGUUCUCCCCGAAAGCUAUUUAGGUAGCGCCUCGUGAACUCAUCUUCGGGGGUAGAGCACUGUUUCGGCUAGGGGGUCAUCCCGACUUACCAACCCGAUGCAAACUACGAAUACCGAAGAAUGUUAUCACGGGAGACACACGGCGGGUGCUAACGUCCGUCGUGAAGAGGGAAACAACCCAGACCGCCAGCUAAGGUCCCAAAGUCAUGGUUAAGUGGGAAACGAUGUGGGAAGGCACAGACAGCCAGGAUGUUGGCUUAGAAGCAGCCAUCAUUUAAAGAAAGCGUAAUAGCUCACUGGUCGAGUCGGCCUGCGCGGAAGAUGUAACGGGGCUAAACCAUGCACCGAAGCUGCGGCAGCGACACUAUGUGUUGUUGGGUAGGGGAGCGUUCUGUAAGCCUGCGAAGGUGUGCUGUGAGGCAUGCUGGAGGUAUCAGAAGUGCGAAUGCUGACAUAAGUAACGAUAAAGCGGGUGAAAAGCCCGCUCGCCGGAAGACCAAGGGUUCCUGUCCAACGUUAAUCGGGGCAGGGUGAGUCGACCCCUAAGGCGAGGCCGAAAGGCGUAGUCGAUGGGAAACAGGUUAAUAUUCCUGUACUUGGUGUUACUGCGAAGGGGGGACGGAGAAGGCUAUGUUAGCCGGGCGACGGUUGUCCCGGUUUAAGCAUGUAGGCUGGUUAUCCAGGCAAAUCCGGAUAAUCAAGGCUGAGGUGUGAUGACGAGGCACUACGGUGCUGAAGUAACAAAUGCCCUGCUUCCAGGAAAAGCCUCUAAGCAUCAGGUAACAUCAAAUCGUACCCCAAACCGACACAGGUGGUCAGGUAGAGAAUACCAAGGCGCUUGAGAGAACUCGGGUGAAGGAACUAGGCAAAAUGGUGCCGUAACUUCGGGAGAAGGCACGCUGGUGUGUAGGUGAAGUCCCUGCGGAUGGAGCUGAGACCAGUCGAAGAUACCAGCUGGCUGCAACUGUUUAUUAAAAACACAGCACUGUGCAAACACGAAAGUGGACGUAUACGGUGUGACGCCUGCCCGGUGCCGGAAGGUUAAUUGAUGGGGUUAUCCGUAAGGAGAAGCUCUUGAUCGAAGCCCCGGUAAACGGCGGCCGUAACUAUAACGGUCCUAAGGUAGCGAAAUUCCUUGUCGGGUAAGUUCCGACCUGCACGAAUGGCGUAAUGAUGGCCAGGCUGUCUCCACCCGAGACUCAGUGAAAUUGAACUCGCUGUGAAGAUGCAGUGUACCCGCGGCAAGACGGAAAGACCCCGUGAACCUUUACUAUAGCUUGACACUGAACAUUGAGCCUUGAUGUGUAGGAUAGGUGGGAGGCUUUGAAGCGUGGACGCCAGUCUGCGUGGAGCCAACCUUGAAAUACCACCCUUUAAUGUUUGAUGUUCUAACGUUGGCCCCUGACCGGGGUUGCGGACAGUGUCUGGUGGGUAGUUUGACUGGGGCGGUCUCCUCCCAAAGCGUAACGGAGGAGCACGAAGGUUAGCUAAUCCUGGUCGGACAUCAGGAGGUUAGUGCAAUGGCAUAAGCUAGCUUGACUGCGAGCGUGACGGCGCGAGCAGGUGCGAAAGCAGGUCAUAGUGAUCCGGUGGUUCUGAAUGGAAGGGCCAUCGCUCAACGGAUAAAAGGUACUCCGGGGAUAACAGGCUGAUACCGCCCAAGAGUUCAUAUCGACGGCGGUGUUUGGCACCUCGAUGUCGGCUCAUCACAUCCUGGGGCUGAAGUAGGUCCCAAGGGUAUGGCUGUUCGCCAUUUAAAGUGGUACGCGAGCUGGGUUUAGAACGUCGUGAGACAGUUCGGUCCCUAUCUGCCGUGGGCGCUGGAGAAUUGAGGGGGGCUGCUCCUAGUACGAGAGGACCGGAGUGGACGCAUCACUGGUGUUCGGGUUGUCAUGCCAAUGGCACUGCCCGGUAGCUAAAUGCGGAAGAGAUAAGUGCUGAAAGCAUCUAAGCACGAAACUUGCCCCGAGAUGAGUUCUCCCUGAGACUAUAAGUCUCCUGAAGGAACGUUAAAGACGAUGACGUUGAUAGGCCGGGUGUGUAAGCGCAGCGAUGCGUUGAGCUAACCGGUACUAAUGAACCGUGAGGCUUAACCUU
This 2888-nucleotide ribosomal RNA is filed under the name Klebsiella pneumoniae MGH 71. RNAcentral's name for it is "bacterial LSU rRNA". It matches the Rfam family "Bacterial large subunit ribosomal RNA". Lineage: Bacteria; Pseudomonadati; Pseudomonadota; Gammaproteobacteria; Enterobacterales; Enterobacteriaceae. The record is from RNAcentral.